RNAcentral lists this ribosomal RNA (471 nucleotides) under uncultured bacterium. Its description in RNAcentral is "bacterial SSU rRNA". It matches the Rfam family "Bacterial small subunit ribosomal RNA", at positions 329 to 793 of the family's 1533-position model. The record is from RNAcentral.
GCAGAGCAUCCUACGGGAGGCAGCAGUGGGGAAUAUUGCACAAUGGGCGCAAGCCUGAUGCAGCCAUGCCGCGUGUAUGAAGAAGGCCUUCGGGUUGUAAAGUACUUUCAGCAGUGAGGAAGGUGGAUAUGUUAAUAGCAUAUUCAUUUGACGUUAGCUGCAGAAGAAGCACCGGCUAACUCCGUGCCAGCAGCCGCGGUAAUACGGAGGGUGCGAGCGUUAAUCGGAAUUACUGGGCGUAAAGCGCAUGCAGGUGGUUUGUUAAGUCAGAUGUGAAAGCCCGGGGCUCAACCUCGGAAUUGCAUUUGAAACUGGCAAACUAGAGUACUGUAGAGGGGGUAGAAUUUCAGGUGUAGCGGUGAAAUGCGUAGAGAUCUGAAGGAAUACCGGUGGCGAAGGCGGCCCCCUGGACAGAUACUGACACUCAGAUGCGAAAGCGUGGGGAGCAAACAGGAUUAUAUACCCUGGUAG